Molecule: non-coding RNA, 71 nt
Organism: Drosophila ananassae
Lineage: Eukaryota; Metazoa; Arthropoda; Insecta; Diptera; Drosophilidae
Source: Rfam
GCAUCGGUGGUUCAAUGGUAGAAUUCUCGCCUCCCAUGCGAGUGGUCCGGGUUCGAUUCCCGGCCGAUGCA